This 253-nucleotide ribosomal RNA is filed under the name uncultured bacterium. Its description in RNAcentral is "partial 16S ribosomal RNA". It matches the Rfam family "Bacterial small subunit ribosomal RNA", at positions 524 to 776 of the family's 1533-position model. The record is from RNAcentral.
UACGAAGGACCCGAGCGUUAUCCGGAUUUAUUGGGUUUAAAGGGUGCGUAGGCGGAUUUACGAGUCAGUGGUGAAAUCUCCCAGCUCAACUGGGAAACUGCCAUUGAAACUGUUUAUCUUGAGUACAUUUGAGGCGGGCGGAAUGUGUCAUGUAGAGGUGAAAUUCUUAGAUAUGACACAGAACACCAAUUGCGAAGGCAGCUCGCUAAACUGUAACUGACGCUGAGGCACGAAAGCGUGGGGAUCAAACAGG